This 375-nucleotide ribosomal RNA is filed under the name uncultured bacterium. RNAcentral describes it as "bacterial SSU rRNA". It matches the Rfam family "Bacterial small subunit ribosomal RNA", at positions 29 to 407 of the family's 1533-position model. The record is from RNAcentral.
AUUGAACGCUGGCGGCAUGCCUUACACAUGCAAGUCGAACGGUAACGCGGGGCAACCUGGCGACGAGUGGCGAACGGGUGAGUAAUAUAUCGGAACGUGCCCAGUAGUGGGGGAUAGCCCGGCGAAAGCCGGAUUAAUACCGCAUGAGACCUGAGGGUGAAAGCGGGGGAUCGCAAGACCUCGCGCUAUUGGAGCGGCCGAUAUCAGAUUAGGUAGUUGGUGGGGUAAAGGCCUACCAAGCCGACGAUCUGUAGCUGGUCUGAGAGGACGACCAGCCACACUGGGACUGAGACACGGCCCAGACUCCUACGGGAGGCAGCAGUGGGGAAUUUUGGACAAUGGGCGCAAGCCUGAUCCAGCCAUGCCGCGUGCGGG